UGAAUACGAGAUGCUACGGCAUUGAAGCAGUCUAUGUCAGACUUCCAAGAAAAGCUCGCACUGUCAUUAACAAAAAUGCCUGUACCAUAACCGACACAGGUGGGUAGGUAGAGUAUACUAAGGGGCGCGAGAUAACUCUCUCUAAGGAACUCGGCAAAAUGACUCCGUAACUUCGGGAGAAGGAGUGCCUUAUUUCUUAAGGUUGCAAUAACAAGAUCCAAGCAACUGUUUAUCAAAAACACAGGUCUCCGCGAAGUCGUAAGACGAUGUAUGGGGGCUGACGCCUGCCCAGUGCCAGAAGGUUAAAGAAGUUGGUUAGCCUUGCGAAGCUGAUGACUGAAGCCCUGGUGAACGGCGGCCGUAACAAUAACGGUCCUAAGGUAGCGAAAUUCCUUGUCGGGUAAGUUCCGACCCGCACGAAAGGCGUAAUGAUUUGGAUACUGUCUCGGAGAGGGGCUCGGUGAAAUAGACUUGUCUGUGAAGAUGCGGACUACCUGCACCUGGACAGAAAGACCCUAUGAAGCUUUACUGUAACUUGAGAUUGAAAUUGGACUUUAUUUGCGCAGUAUAGGUGGGAGACGUUGAGAAUAUUCUUGCGGGAAUAUUGGAGUCAUCAGUGAGAUACCACUCUUGUAAUGUUAGAUUUCUAACUUUGUAUCAUGAUCUGGUCAAAGGACAGUUUCAGGCGGGCAGUUUGACUGGGGCGGUCGCCUCCCAAACGGUAACGGAGGCGCACAAAGGUUUCCUCUGAACGUGUAGAAAUCGUAUCUAGAGUGUAAAGGCAUAAGGAAGCUUGACUGUGAGACCUACAAGUCGAGCAGGGACGAAAGUCGGUCUUAGUGAUCUGACGGUGCUGAGUGGAAAGGCCGUCACUCAACGGAUAAAAGUUACUCUAGGAUAACAGGCUGAUCUCCCCCAAGAGUUCACAUCGACGGGGAGGUUUGGCACCUCGAUGUCGGCUCAUCGCAUCCUGGGGCGGUAGUACGUCCCAAGGGUUGGGCUGUUCGCCCAUGAAAGCGGUACGCGAGCUGGGUUCAGAACGUCGUGAGACAGUUCGGUCCAUAUCCGGUGUAGGCGUUAGAAUAUUGAGAGGAGCCUUCUUUAGUACGAGAGGACCGAGAAGGACAUACCUCUGGUGUACCAGUUAUCGUGCCAACGGUAAACGCUGGGUAGCUAUGUAUGGAGAGGAUAACCGCUGAAAGCAUCUGAGUGGGAAGCCCACCUCAAGAUAAG
Molecule: ribosomal RNA, 1233 nt
Filed under: metagenome
Description: bacterial LSU rRNA
Rfam family: Bacterial large subunit ribosomal RNA
Source: RNAcentral